Molecule: transfer RNA, 71 nt
Filed under: Pseudomonas fluorescens
Lineage: Bacteria; Pseudomonadati; Pseudomonadota; Gammaproteobacteria; Pseudomonadales; Pseudomonadaceae
Description: tRNA-Glu
Source: RNAcentral
UCGUCGGUGGCGUGGCUGACUUUGUCACCGUUCUCGGCGGUGACUUCGCGGUUCAGGCCGCGGUUGACCAG